AUGGGGAGCUUGAUAGACGAAGCAGGAACUGAGGAGCAGCCCUUGGACCCGAAGCCAUUGCACUCACUAGCGCCGAUGUUCCCUACCCCUCCUGGGUAUGAUCUAGCAACUGCUGGAUCAUCCGACCCACCAUUCUUCUACUACAUCACACCAAUACGACAACACCCUGGGCCGGCUCCAGCUUCAUUUGCUGGGCCGCCGCCAGGGCCCUGCUCCUCACCGCAACAACACCCUGGGCCGGCUCCAGCUUCAUUUGCUGGGCCGCCACCGCAACAACACCCUGGGCCAGCUCCAGCUUCAUUUGCUGGGCCGUCACCAGGACCAGGGUCCGCAGUUCCUCUGAAGGCCACGCCAAUCUCGGCAGCAUUUCCCGCGCGGCGACUCAAAGAGGAACUGUCGGAUGAAGACUACACUCCUGCUUCCGAGAAGAGGAAACCAUCUUCAUCUUCACCCAAGAGCACAGCCAAGAGGGUUCGGCAGGCCGGAGACUCCACUGCAGCCAACACCAAGCAGAGACCGAUCAGGAGGAGCCUCAGCAAGGAGCUCGCCGGCUGGCCCUCCGCAUCGGACAACCCAAGGGAGGCAGUGGAAGCGACCAUGGCCAUGUUCGACUCGCUCCGGCGCCGGACGCUGCAGCUGGAUGAGAAGGAGGGCUUGGGCAGGCGCGCCGACCUCAAGGCCAGUGUUCUCAUGAACCAUAACAACCUGAAGAUCAACAGCCUCAAGACGAUAGGCCCCGUCCCGGGCGUCGAAAUCGGAGACAUCUUCUUCUACAGGAUUGAGAUGUGCAUCGUGGGGUUGCAUGCGCCAUCCAUGGCCGGCAUCGACUACCUGUCGGCUAAGCUUGUUGCCGGGAGGGACGAGAGCCUGGCCGUGAGCAUCAUCUCGUCCGGCGGAUACGAGAACGUUGAAGAUGAGACCGACACCCUGGUGUACACGGGCCAAGGAGGCAACAGCCGGCGCAAGGACAAGGAGAAGCACGACCAGAAGCUGGAGAAAGGAAACCUUGCUCUCAGCAACAGCGCCAGCAAGAAGAACCAGAUCAGGGUGGUGCGCAGUGCACGGGACCCUUUCUCUAUCACAGCAGGCAAGGUUUACAUCUACGAUGGAGUGUAUCGCAUCGAGGACUCCUGGAUGGACACGGCCAAGAACGGGUUCAGUGUGUUCAAGUACAGGCUGAGGAGGGAGCCAGGGCAACCUCAUGGAAUUUCAGUCUGGAAGAUGACAGAAAAGUGGAAGGCAAACCGUGCCACAAGAGAAAAUGCCAUGGUGCUGGAUCUAUCAUCAGGGGCUGAGAUCCUGCCUGUGUGCCUUGUCAACGAAGUCGACGGCGAAACGGGGCCGAGCCACUUCAAGUAUGUCACCGGAGUGAAGCACUCGAGACCUCUUGGUAGGAACAAGCCAUUGCACCACUGUGAGUGUACUAGUGUGUGCAUGCCAGGUGACCCCAAUUGUUCGUGCGCGCGACAGAAUGGCGGCGAUCUUCCCUACAACUUGGACGGGGUGCUCGCGAGGCAUGUUCCGAUGCUUUACGAGUGCUCUCGUGACUGCCAUUGCACCAAGGACUGUCGGAACAGGGUUGCACAGAGAGGUGUUCAGCUCAACUUUGAGGUGUUCCGGACCGGAGACCGUGGAUGGGGUCUCCGAUCAUGGGACCCGAUCCGUGCCGGCGCAUUCGUUUGCGAGUAUGCUGGUCAAGUCAUGGACGAAACCAACAUGAGCAUGGAUGUCGAGGAGGACGAGUACACCUUUCGCACAACAUGUCCAAGUGACAAGGCUCUAAGAUGGAACCUGGGUGCAGAGUUGCUCGAGGAAAAAGGUGCAGAUGCCACAGCUGAGAGGUUUAAGAAGCUUCCUGUCGUGAUAAGUGCAAAAGAUGCAGGCAACGUUGCUCGUUUCGUCAACCAUAGCUGCUCCCCGAAUCUACUCUGGCAGGCUGUGCAAUAUGACCAUACCGAUGACAGUUAUCCGCAUAUCAUGUUCUUCGCUAUGAAACAUAUCCCUCCUAUGACUGAGCUGACAUAUGAUUAUGGCAUUAGAGGGGCUCCUCCGGGCCUCAAGGGGAAAUCUCCCCUGGCUUGCAAGCUCAAGCCAUGCUUAUGUGGAUCUGCAAACUGUCGAGGUUCUUUCUGA
This 2133-nucleotide ribosomal RNA is filed under the name Triticum aestivum (bread wheat). RNAcentral's name for it is "partial small subunit ribosomal RNA". The record is from RNAcentral. Lineage: Eukaryota; Viridiplantae; Streptophyta; Magnoliopsida; Poales; Poaceae.